RNAcentral lists this ribosomal RNA (2602 nucleotides) under Triticum aestivum (bread wheat). Its description in RNAcentral is "partial small subunit ribosomal RNA". Lineage: Eukaryota; Viridiplantae; Streptophyta; Magnoliopsida; Poales; Poaceae. The record is from RNAcentral.
AGGGAGGUUGUUGGAAUGGUGGCGGAAAGGUUUGGGAUCUAGACCCGUCAGGCAAGAAGGGGAAGGGGCACGCGGCGGCGGUGAUGUAGAGAAGGAGAGGGAGAGGCUAGGUGUGUGCGGGACGAUGCCGGAGUGGAGCGACCGGACGGAAACCUACCUUGGCAGGACCGGAUCAGGAACGGUCUAGACCGGCGUGGCCAGCAGCCACGACGACCUAUACCGGCGAGGCCCGGAGUAGUGGUGGUGGGGUUCACACGUGGAGAGGUGGCGGUGAAGGGGCAGCAGAAGUGUAGGCGGAGCGGGUCAAGGUCUCAUCAGCGCACAGAGGGCUCCUCGGGCUGGGGCCGCCGGAGAGGUACCUGAGGGAGGUGGUAUCGAUUCCGUCGCGGUGACGUAGGUCUUGUGCCAAGUUGGAGGUCUUGCGAACACCGUUCGUGGUCUAGCACUCAAGUUCAUCCAGUUGGCGCUCAACGUAGAUGUAGCUGUCCAAGAGAAGAAGAAACACCCGGACGUGGAAGGUGCACCCGACACCUCCUGCCUACCGCGACACGACAAGCCCGACGUUGUACUGCCCGUCGCCAAGAUGCAGGGGAGAGUCUCGUCGAGAAAGUACCAACAGACGUAUCCGGAGCACCGUGGUAACAGAUCCCGAACAAACGACAACGGGUGAACAUGGAGUACCUUCGGAGUUCGCACCUUCGGUCGCGUGUAUAUGUGUGAGUAAGUCCGAGUCCGUACUUGGUUCCUUUUCAAGUGUCGUCUUUUGACUUCGAGAUCGUACACACGGUCGGCUACUUCGAGCGGAAUUGGGUAGCGAGUAACGAUUCCAUGGCCGUGUACGAUGAGAUAGACAACAUACAACUCGGUCUUACAUACGAUGAGAUAGACAACAUACAACUCGGUCUUACAUAAACGGACUGACUAGUAUUAGGAACAGACCAUCCUUUGAAUACCAUAGGUCAUGUUUCUACGGUUUCAAAGCUAUAUUUAAAACGAUUAAAUAUUACCACCGAAGUUUAAUAUCACUUGAUAUAUCCGCCAUCCGCGAGUGUAGGAUAACCGGAAGCCACUGUAAAACUCGAGAAUAGACGACAGAAAUUAACAAUCACACAUGGUAGGUUGUUUUAAUCGAGAUCACGAACCACACUUAAAAAAUACCAAUAAAUCAAAUAAAGUAACAUGUUACGUACCACGAUACAAAGUAUUCAUAUGUGUACGAUACGAACCGUACGUCAAAACCACCUUUUUCCUUCGUAUAGUACGAAUGUUUAACAAACUGGAACGUAAAAUAACGAAUGACAAAUGAUAUGUAAUCAUAAACAUGAACCUUCACAGUUUUUAGACAGUAAUAUUAGUCGACAUCAUUAUAACGAUAUCUAUAUGUGUGUGACUUUCAGACUUUCUAAAGAACAUUUUCAUGUACAGUCGACGGUAUAGGAAAGGAUACAGGACAAGUCAAAAAAAUUAGAAGAGAACCAAACUACAAUACUAAAAACAAUGUAUCAAGUAUCUACAACGACCAAACAUGAAACUUUUAUAAAUUUCAAUAAAAAAAAGAGAACAAGUUUUACAAGACAUAGUUCGAGCAUUCAAAUUCCUACUCUAACAACUUACGAUGUUUUAAAGUAUGGAAACUAAAGUAUUAAGAUAUUUAAGUUGGUAAGAUUUGAUUUGGUUGGUCUAGUAUAGGAAUUAAUUACCCAAACAUCCAAUUCCCACCUAUGAGUCUUCAUAAAGCCAACACAUUCAAGAGCUGUACAAUUAAGCAAGAUCUCAGAGGGAAAAGGAAAGAAAAAUGUUAACAGUACUAAAAUAUACCGGAAUCAGUUAGACAACACAGACCAGACUAAACAAUCUAUUGAUGUUACACACUACUUAAGAAGUUAACUAAUCCUUCCGAUCUACACAUUUUGAAACAAAUACCUCGAACGUGUACUCGUAUAGGUAAAGUGGUUUACUUCUAUUUUCUGAGUACAAGAACUACAAACUUGACCCCUAGGGUACCUUAAAAAAAAGACAUUGUACCAAGAGUAGAGACUUGUACGUGUGUACAACAAAAGUACAAUUCUAUAAAAAUUUUGUUUUAUGUCAUUGACUGUAGACAAAGUAAUCGAAAAAUAUGAUUACAAAAUGAAGAGACUUGAUUUAAGAACGUUUAGUGUAACUAGAUCAACGUCCAGAAGGUAUAUGUAGGUGUUAGUACACCUCCACACCAAUUCGACACUAGAAAUUUCGUAACGUUCAUACCAUUGAGAAACUUACAACAACAAAAUGUUCUACAACCGUUCAAACCAUAAAUGAUAAAACUUCUGUAGCGUCCUUCAAUAAGUUGUUUGCCAACGCUGGUUCGUUAAACAGAAGGACCUGUACCGAGGAAGACACGUAGUUUCGAGCUUGGUAAACAGAUCGAAUCAAACUUCUUUUUAUUUUAGAAUCAGAAUACAUUUAAGACAAAUAACUACAUCGAUCUACGUUGAGAUGCGUGUAUACACAAAACAGUCAAGACAAAUAACUACAUCGACCUACAAUGACUUGCGUACAUCCAGAACACAUUUAAGACAAAUAACUACAUCGACCUACGAUGACUUGCGAACUUACUUAC